UACAGAGGGUGCGAGCGUUAAUCGGAGUAACUGGGCGUAAAGGGCACGUAGGCGGUUAGAUUAGUCUGAUGUGAAAGACCUGGGCUUAACCUGGGAUGUGCAUUGGAAACGGUCUAGCUAGAGUAUGGGAGAGGGAAGUGGAAUUUCCGGUGUAGCGGUGAAAUGCGUAGAGAUCGGAAAGAACACUCGUGGCGAAGGCGGCUUUCUGGCCCAAAACUGACGCUGAGGUGCGAAAGCGUGGGGAGCAAAC
Molecule: ribosomal RNA, 250 nt
Filed under: uncultured bacterium
Lineage: Bacteria
Description: partial 16S ribosomal RNA
Rfam family: Bacterial small subunit ribosomal RNA
Source: RNAcentral